CUCAGAGUGAACGCUAGCGGCGUGGUUAAGACAUGCAAGUCGAACGAUGAAGCCCAGCUUGCUGGGCGGAUUAGUGGCAUACGGGUGCGUAACACGUGAGCAACCUGCCUUGAAGUGGGGAAUAGCCCGGGGAAACCCGGAUUAAUACCGCAUGUGGUCUCUUUUCGCAUGAAAAGACGACUAAAGUUUGUAAUGACUCUUCAAGAGGGGCUCGCGGCCUAUCAGCUUGUUGGUGAGGUAAAGGCUCACCAAGGCAAAGACGGGUAGCUGGUCUGAGAGGAUGAUCAGCCACACUGGAACUGAGAUACGGUCCAGACACCUACGGGUGGCAGCAGUUUCGAAUCAUUCACAAUGGGGGAAACCCUGAUGGUGCAACGCCGCGUGGAGGAUGACGGCCUUCGGGUUGUAAACUCCUGUCACCAAGGAACAAACGGCAGGUUUAUAGCCUGUCCUGAGUUAACUUGGAGAGGAAGAGGUGGCUAACUCCGUGCCAGCAGCCGCGGUAAUACGGAGACCUCGAGCGUUACUCGGAUUCACUGGGCGUAAAGAGUAUGUAGGCUGUUUGGUAUGUCAGGUGUGAAAGCCCGAAGCUCAACUUCGGAAUUGCGCCUGAAACUACCGGACUUGAGGCCUGGAGAGGGGAGUGGAAUUCCUGGUGUAGCGGUGAAAUGCGUAGAUCUCAGGAGGAACACCAAUGGCGAAGGCAGCUCCCUGGACAGGUUCUGACGCUGAGAUACGAAAGCGUGGGUAGCGAAAGGGAUUAGAUACCCCUGUAGUCCACGCCGUAAGCGUUGUACACUAGGUUUCGGAGGGCCUACCCCUUCGGAGCUCAAGCUAACGCGAUAAGUGUACCGCCUGAGGACUACGGCCGCAAGGCUAAAACUCAAAGGAAUUGACGGGGGCCCGCACAAGCGGUGGAGCAUGUGGCUAAUUCGAUGCAACGCGAAGAACCUUACUAGGCUUGGCAUGAACCGGACGAUUUUCGGAACGGAUUUCUCCCUUCGGGGCCGGUCACAGGUGCUGCAUGGCUGUCGUCAGCUC
This 1041-nucleotide ribosomal RNA is filed under the name uncultured organism. RNAcentral describes it as "bacterial SSU rRNA". It matches the Rfam family "Bacterial small subunit ribosomal RNA", at positions 23 to 1061 of the family's 1533-position model. The record is from RNAcentral.